AACGCACCUUGCGCCUUUUGGUACUCCGAAAGGCAUGCCUGUUUGAGUGUCAUGAAAACCUCAAAGCUACCUUGAAUCUUCGGAUCUGGGGUGGGUUUGGAUUUGGGUAUUGCCAUCAGGGCUUGCCUUAAAUGACAAAGUGGCUUUUGCACCGUGGUGGCCAGCGUAAUAAGUUUCGUCUGGUCGGGGGUGAUUGCUGCCUACAACCUGAACUUUUAAGUAUGACCUCAAAUCAGGUAGGGCUACCCGCUGAACUUAA
Molecule: unclassified non-coding RNA, 259 nt
Filed under: uncultured fungus
Lineage: Eukaryota; Fungi
Description: partial contains 5.8S ribosomal RNA, internal transcribed spacer 2, and large subunit ribosomal RNA
Rfam family: 5.8S ribosomal RNA (bases 1-52)
Source: RNAcentral